Molecule: ribosomal RNA, 493 nt
Filed under: uncultured bacterium
Lineage: Bacteria
Description: partial 16S ribosomal RNA
Rfam family: Bacterial small subunit ribosomal RNA
Source: RNAcentral
AUUGAACGCUGGCGGCAUGCUUUACACAUGCAAGUCGAACGGUAACAGGUUAAGCUGACGAGUGGCGAACGGGUGAGUAAUGCAUCGGAACGUGCCCGGUCGUGGGGGAUAACACUUCGAAAGAAGUGCUAAUACCGCAUACGAUCUGAGGACGAAAGCGGGGGACCGUAAGGCCUCGCGCGAUCGGAGCGGCCGAUGUCAGAUUAGGUAGUUGGGGGGGUAAAGGCUCACCAAGCCGACGAUCUGUAGCUGGUCUGAGAGGACGACCAGCCACACUGGGGCUGAGACACGGCCCAGACUCCUACGGGAGGCAGCAGUGGGGAAUUUUGGACAAUGGGCGCAAGCCUGAUCCAGCAAUGCCGCGUGCAGGAAGAAGGCCUUCGGGUUGUAAACUGCUUUUGUACGGAGCGAAAAGGCUCUCUCUAAUACAGGGGGCUCAUGACGGUACCGUAAGAAUAAGCACCGGCUAACUACGUGCCAGCCGCCGCAGUAA